UGCGUCGACCCGAGCAGUUGCGAGAGCGAAUGAAGUUGCGGUUGCACGGACAAGCUUGUGGAGGUGUUAGUAUGCACGCAUGCGUCCCUGAUUUGGAGCAUGCCUCUGGCCUGGUAGGAUUCUCGCUCUGCCCCGACCUCAAGGGCGUUCCUCUAUCUGUGUCGUGCUCGGGACCAUGCACUAAUGCAGGUGCGGUUCUUCAGCUUUUCUUUGUCUUUUUCUUGGUAUGUAUAUCUCUCAAUCUUGUGAGCCGUGAUUUUCAUGCUGCCAUGUAUGCCAUUGUGUCCUGUAUAAUGAUUCUUCUUAUUAUUUUUGAAUGGCAUAAUUAUUCUUAUUGAGGCACUGCCGCUGCCUAAUUUGCUUAUAGAAAUAACAUACUAAUUAAUACAGGGAGAGAGUACGAUUUUUUGACACAAUCUGCAGUACCCGUGAGCCUGCCCAUAGGUAGAUAUGGAUACAUUUUGUAGCUUCCAUUCUUGUUUUCUCUCAUUAAAAUUAUGGAUUUGGAAACUAAUCAUGGAGUGUCUAGAUUGCCUGCUAUAUUACCAAGUGCGCUGAAGGAAAAGCUGCUGCCACUGUUGAUGACCACUCUAGGUGAUAUAAUUCAUGUUUGCUUUGUUGUUUUACUAACUUCCUGUAGCAUAUUGGUUCCAUCUUUUUUUUUUGCAUCAUGGUACAUUAUUCUCAUCUUGAUAUAUAUCAUUUGGUCAACUGAAGAUUUGAGUGCAGGGUAGAAUUCUUGGUUGAUUUUAGAAUUUCGUUGUUGAUUAGUUGGCCAACAGACUUUUAUGAAAUUCAAGGCAUCAUUUAGUGUACUAUAUGUCAUAUUUGUCUUGUUUCUAUACUCACAAUAUUUCCGCAUCAUCUGAACAAAUGAUGCUAAAUUGAUAUAAUCAUUUUGGAUCAGUGUCAUCUUCUCAAUGCUGAACAGCCAAAAUAUAUACAUAGUGAGCAUUCCACCGCACAUGCUCAUACGUCAUAUUUAUGUACUGUUUAACACGGCAAAAAUUGGUCAAACAUUUAAACAUUUCUACUGUUUAACACAACCAAAGUAUAUACAUAAUGAUCAGUCCUUCGCUGCACGUUAGAUCUAGCCUCCCUCCCUUGACACCAUUCUUCUUGCUUAUUAUUAUUUAUUUUAAAAAUAUCUUUAGUUUUAUUUUCUAGCUACUUCAAUUCAUUUGUAUAUGGUUAGUUCCAUCGCACUACCAGGAUGAUCCAUGGCUGGUCGCGGACGAUCACCUGCGAGGACGAUUCAUGGCCGGUUGGGGAUGGUCAGUUCCAUCACACUGCGAGGAGAUGAUUCAUGGCCAGUCGGGGAUGGUCACCUGCGGCCAACCUUAAUACUGGACCUCGAAAGGGGCAUGUGGCCAACCAUGCCGGAGGAUGCAGAGGAGUUGUUUGGGAAUGUUAUCAUCAGAGGACCCAAGAAGCAACCCACCACAGAUGCAUGGACCAACCACGCAAGUCCAUUGUGAGUUUGAUGCUUCUCAUGUGUUCACUGUGGUGCAAUGAAGAUCUGAUGGGCAAUGGUCUCAUGACAUUUCCUUUCUAAAAACUUAAAUUUAUAGCUUGCAAUCCAUCUGUGGCGAGGGUUCAUGACAGACAAGCCAAUAGAUUUAGGGGUCCACACCGUGGGAAGGUUAUGGCCAAG
Non-coding RNA from Aegilops tauschii subsp. strangulata, 1654 nucleotides. NCBI's taxonomy places the organism in Eukaryota, Viridiplantae, Streptophyta, Magnoliopsida, Poales, Poaceae. The record is from RefSeq and is a predicted model, not a curated record.